Pimephales promelas (fathead minnow) is the source of this 1775-nucleotide non-coding RNA. The record is from RefSeq and is a predicted model, not a curated record. NCBI's taxonomy places the organism in Eukaryota, Metazoa, Chordata, Actinopteri, Cypriniformes, Leuciscidae.
UAAUAUGUCAUUUUUUAUCAUCCUUUUACAGACUGGCUGAUCAUUUUACUCACGAUCUUGGCAGUUCUCCUCAUUCUGCUCAUCUGUGUCAUUGUAGCAACCAGAAAAAGAUGUUGUGGCAAGAAAAAGACUCUGAUUAUCACAAAACACAGCAGCAGUAAAGAGAACGGUGCGUCCGCGUCAUUCGCUCAGGAGCCGGAGAUGGUCACACUCGUCCACUGAACAGAUCCUCGAGAAACAGCAACAUCAGUCUGGAGAACCGAGAAAACAUUAGAAGACAUGACCAGAGAGAGAGACCUGGGAAUGAAAACGAAGAUAAGACGCCUUGAAACUGAGAUUUGAAAUAAAUCAAGAGGAUUUAAGGAUCAGAUCUGAAGAACCACCGGCUGUAUUUGUGUGUGCGUGUGUGUAUUCAUUUUAUAUUUCAGUAUUAAUUGAUGUUUAAUUUUACACUAGUAUAUUUGUGAUGAAGUAUUUUUUUUCAGAGGCUUUGCCUGGUAUAAUUACACUGGUGAAAUCAGUGCUGGUCAGAUUGUUCAGUAAACUCGGGUGUUACCAUCCCUUGGUCUCCUGCUGUGCAUUUUGCUCUUCAGCAAACCCAAGAUAAGCCAAAGUUUACAUGACAAUGAGCUGACUUUGAACGAUAUCGGCAAUAUCUUUUUUUGAGAGAGAGAGAGAGAGAGAGAGACCUCCAGGUGUACUGAUUGUCUGAAGCCUGUAGAGCAGAGCCGGUAACUCUGGCCCUCGAGGACCAAAAGAACCAAACAACCAAAAGUAGUGCAGGUCAUCACUUCAAGAAAGUGAGGAAAAAUCCAGCAUUGGUGUGUUUUGCACACACACAAAAAAUUAUCCCAUGGAAUUUUGACACGUUUGACUUUGCAAAUGAGCAUGAAAGUCUUUAAAAGCAGCAACUUUAAAUUUUGGACCUUCAUUAUCAAGUUGUUAUUAACUGAAAGAGCUCUUCUCUUAACCUCUGUAGUUAAACAAACACGAUUUGAAAUACAUUUAUUUUAUGCUAAGUAUUCUACAAAUACAUUUACAUGUACUUAAUAUAAAUACCCUUGCUAUAUUAAACUGGUAUACUUAAAGUCUGCUAAAUUGGAACUAAUUCUGUACUAAGUGCACUUGUGUGCAUAUGUGUGGGUAGUUUUUUGUUGUGUGUUUCAGAAUUUCAGUCUUCAUUAAGGAAGAUGACGAGCCGGUUCACACUGUCAAUCACAUUACGCCGCCUCCUUCACACACCCGUAUCUCCUCCACGUCUCCAGCGUCUUGCUCGCUUUGGUGGUGCUUGUUCACUUGAGCUUGUCGCUAGAGUCCUUCUGUACUGUGUGUGUUUAUUCUUUGAUUGAAACGUUUGUCACAGUGUGGUAGUGGAGUGUAUAGUUCUCACACUCUUCUAUCGUCAUCACGUUGUGUGUGAGGCUGGGAAGGAGGGAGCGGUUAAGUAAGUAAGUGGCGCACCACAUAGGAAAUCCUGUUUGUAUGAACAUUACCACACCCUGUAGGUCUGUUAUCUGGUUAGUCGGCGUAGUUUAGUUUGGACGUCUUGACACUGAAGACUUUUCUUUUCUACAUUUUUCUUUUGAUAGAUAGCUUAGCUGAUUAAACCUCGUUAGCUUUGUUUUGUUUUAUUUAUUUAUUUGAUUUGGCAUCUCUCGAGCUCGCCUUCCCACCUUGUUUUGGUAUUGUUAUUUGUGCGAUUUGUUCCUGUUUAAAUAUUAUUUUCUUUUCACCUGUUCACUUUUGGCACUGUACAAUAAAUUCAAAAGAGAGGA